AAACCUGUGUUUGACUUCUGCCUGGGUUCACCUUCCAACUAAACCUAAGCAGAGGCUGCCUACACAUGAUAUCAUGAAGACAUUCUCCACACUUUGUGUUGCACUCAUGCUGCAUUUCACUGCCGUUGAUUUACAAGCAAGUGAUUGUGCACGUCUGCUUCAAAUAAAAAAUCAAUCCAAUACCACCUAUUCAAAGAAUUUAAUGGAAACUCACGUGCGCUGGAAGUUGACCGGUCAUUAUUAUCGGCAUGACUUCUUUUGUUUGGCUGAGAAAAGUCUAAACGCUGAAAAACAUAAUUUGUCUGAAUAUGACUCUGAAUGGAAAUUGACUGACAGUUUGACCCAAUACAUCAAAUUCAGCCAACAAAAACAAAAUUGCACACUCGAGCGCAACGAGAGCAUUCCUGUGAAGGAUCUUCUAACCAUCAUUAAAAAUUGUACCAGUAAAUUAUU
This is a long non-coding RNA of Gadus morhua (Atlantic cod), 453 nucleotides long. RefSeq lists it as uncharacterized. The transcript is spliced from 4 exons. The record is from RefSeq and is a predicted model, not a curated record. NCBI's taxonomy places the organism in Eukaryota, Metazoa, Chordata, Actinopteri, Gadiformes, Gadidae.